RNAcentral lists this microRNA precursor (202 nucleotides) under Oryza sativa Japonica Group (Japanese rice). RNAcentral describes it as "MIR812 microRNA precursor family". It matches the Rfam family "MIR812 microRNA precursor family". The record is from Rfam by way of RNAcentral. Lineage: Eukaryota; Viridiplantae; Streptophyta; Magnoliopsida; Poales; Poaceae.
AAUAGAUGACGCCGUUGAUUUUUUCUCACAUGUUUGACCGUUUGUCUUAUUUAAAAAAUUUACGUAAUUAUAAUUUAUUUUUUAUGAGUUAUUUUAUCACUCACAAUAUUUUAAGUGUGAUUUAUAUCUUAUACAUUUGUAAAAAAAAUUGAAUAAGACGAAUGGUCAAACAUGUGAGAAAAAGUCAACGGCGUCAUCUAUU